UACGUAGGUGGCAAGCGUUGUCCGGAUUUACUGGGCGUAAAGAGCGUGUAGGCGGCCCGAUAAGUCCGCUGUGAAAGUCCAGGGCUCAACCCUGGGAUGCCGGUGGAUACUGUCGGGCUCGAGUCCGGAAGAGGAGUGUGGAAUUCCUGGUGUAGCGGUGAAAUGCGCAGAUAUCAGGAGGAACACCGGUGGCGAAGGCGGAUCUCUGGGCAACAACUGACGCUGAGGAGCGAAAGCGUGGGGAGCGAACAGG
RNAcentral lists this ribosomal RNA (253 nucleotides) under uncultured bacterium. RNAcentral's name for it is "partial 16S ribosomal RNA". It matches the Rfam family "Bacterial small subunit ribosomal RNA", at positions 524 to 776 of the family's 1533-position model. The record is from RNAcentral.